This 506-nucleotide ribosomal RNA is filed under the name uncultured bacterium. Its description in RNAcentral is "partial 16S ribosomal RNA". It matches the Rfam family "Bacterial small subunit ribosomal RNA", at positions 28 to 523 of the family's 1533-position model. The record is from RNAcentral.
GAUGAACGCUAGCGGCAGGCCUAAUACAUGCAAGUCGGACGGGAUCCGUCGGAGAGCUUGCUCGAAGACGGUGAGAGUGGCGCACGGGUGCGUAACGCGUGAGCAACCUACCUCUAUCAGGGGGAUAGCCUCUCGAAAGAGAGAUUAACACCGCAUAAUAUAUGUGACCGGCAUCGGUUGGAUAUUAAAUAUUUAUAGGAUAGAGAUGGGCUCGCGUGACAUUAGCUAGUUGGUAGGGGAACGGCUUACCAAGGCGACGAUGUCUAGGGGCUCUGAGGGGAGAAUCCAUCACACUGGUACUGAGACACGGACCAGACUCCUACGGGAGGCAGCAGUAAGGAAUAUUGGUCAAUGGGCGGAAGCGUGAACCAGCCAUGCCGCGUGCAGGAUGACUGCCCUAUGGGUUGUAAACUGCUUUUGACCAGGAAUAAACCUUUCUACGUUUAGGGAGCUGAAUGUACUGGAAGAAUAAGGAUCGGCUAACUCCGUGCCAGCCGCCGCGGUAA